AAGGUGGCCCAGCUCGGUCGCCGAUCCGGAGGUCUGCAAGACCCCGUCCUUGCCGCCUGCCAUUCAACUUCUGCUGCCGGAUUGGUAGAAGCACAAGAAUUCAAGAGUGUCAUAGCACACCCACAUUUUCCUGUACAAUUUUCAGAGUGCCAUGACCAUUUUGUUGUUGUUGCUGUGAACAGUGCUACAAUGAUGGAGGGACAUCGAGCAGGUCACCGCAAGUGCCAGGUCUUGACCAAUUUGUUCCAUCUACAGUACGGUUAAGAUAAGCUAUUUAUCCGACACACAAUGACUUUUAUUCAAUCAGUCAUAUGAAUCUUAAAUUACUCAUAAUGCUAGUGAUUUCGGAUCUAUACUUCGGUUGGCUGAUUAUUGCGUCUCCCGAUAGAUUGCGCUUACUUGCAGAAGCCAGAUGUGACAUAUGUGAUGAAGAGCUUUUGCUUUGUGUGUGCUUAUUGGAGUUCGCGUGCUAUAUCAGUUCCUGAAUUUGCCAAAAGUGCUUUUUGGAUGGAAGUGGUUUUAAUUCUGAAUAUUAAUAUCCUCUAACUAUAUAUUCGCUUUGUUGCUUCCUGACUUGGGUACCUGCUCGGGGACAUUGAGGGAUUCGUUCAGCUUGUCUUCUCGUAGUCACUGAGUCAUAGGUCAAGUUUUUUCAGAAGAGGUGUGUUAUCUUGUUGGAUGGGAUUUCUUCUUCCGAAGAGAAAAGAUGAAACUAAAAAGGUUAGUGGCUCAGCUGCCCUCUAUCCGUGAUUUGAAGGGUUGACAUGCAGGAAGUCUCAUCAGGUGUUUACUGGGUAAAUCUCAUCAGGUGUUUCUGAAUUUUGUUGAAUUAAUUUGGAUGUACAAAUUAUUUCAAAGUUGAUCUGUAUGGCUUCUGAAUUCAGUAUGGCACAAACCAGGAUGGUGCUUCACUUUAUUUGGUGUUUAAUAUUAAGUUUAAUAGAGUUCUAGAUACAUUUUCUUUGAGUAUUCGAAUGAUACUGAAUAUUUCAGCUUGUUACCGUAUUCCACCAGUAGAAAAUAGGAGGGACUAAAACAUAUGCUUGAAAUUAUCAUCUAUGCUCAAUUUCUGUAAGAAUUUGCUUAUCUGGGAGAUGAUUAAUUUCAAGGUUGGUUUGCCCAUGAGAUUGCUAGAGUAUGGUACCAUUUCAGACAAGCUAAUGUAUGUUCAUAUUGCAUUCUCUAAUUAUCUUCUUACCUUUUGGAUUUUUUACAGGUUAGGAUCAGUUUGGAACUUACAUGGAAGAUGCUGAAUAUCACUCUAUCUUUCUAAGCCAAAAUUAUUUUUAUUUUGCCGGGGAUCCAUUUGUAGUGGCUAAAAGGUGUACAUUUGGUCAGUGCUUCACAUACCAGACAAUUGGAGUGCAGUGGAGCUGAUCUAUGCAGACGGCAGCUGAGAUCGGUGAUGCUUCAGCUACUCAGUCAGCAUCUGCCCAUCUGUGUUUCCUUGCUAUGGCAACACAUUCUCAUCAACCAGGUGCUUAAUUAGAGGCUGCAAUGGAAACCAUGUCUGAAUGAUUGCUUGGGACAGUACCAUAGCAUAAGCUUUGUACAUGCAACCACCGCAAAUCAACCAUAGGCUGCAGCUAGCUGAUGUGUUUAGGCUCUUGUGCCAAUGCAGCUAGCCCUGUGACGAUGCGGCAGAGAAGCACACCCAGCACGGAUGGGAGCAGCCCUCCAGCCAUUCGAUGAGAUGCCUAAUGAACCAUGAGUCCAUGAGACUAAAAACAAUGAAGAAUGAAUUGUGUUAGAUUUUUUGGUACAUUUAAAUUUACCAUCUCAGUUAUUACUGCUCAUUUCUGAAUACGUUAAUUUGAAACAUCACUUGCAGUUGAUGCUUUCGGUUGAUUACUACUCCAACAAAGAAGAAAACAAACACCCUUUUACAAAGAUAAAUACUACUACACAUUUUAGCACAUGUAGUAGUUUACACUCACUUGAUGUGCAUGGAUAGCACCAAAUGAGUUCAUGAAUACUUCGGCAAGUUUGAUCCCAAGCUGCUGGAGAGCUCAGAGCCCGAUGCCAUCCUCAAGCUCAUCGUCCCGGUACAGGAACAAGAUGGAGUUCUCGCUUGGGACAAAGAGAUGGAUGCAAAGGGAGUGGAAGGAGAAGGAGGAAGUAAACAAGGCUGACGAGAUAUUUCCCAUAACAUUUGAUUAACUCAUCAGUUUUUUUUAGGCUAUGAACAAUAGCUAUCUGUUGUGCUGCUGGAAAUGAAAGAAACCUAAGGUUGAGGGUAUACAGCUUUGAGUGGAUCAGAUUUUAUAGAAGAAAAAACUUAAGGUAAAGUUUUUUCCUGGUUUCUGCUUGAUCGAGAUAGAAGAUGGUAGCAGUAAGCAGUGUGCUACUGGAUAAGAAUAGAGCCAAGCAAAGAUCCAGGUUGCUUCUUGCUAUGUGCUACAUGGGUCUCUUAGAAAAUAUCAUAAUAAUGCUUUGGCAGAGUAGGCCAGGUGCAUUCUCUUAUGGGAGUGACCAUCUGUGAGCUAGAUAUUAGUUGUAUCUCUACUUUUGAUUGCAUAAUGACAUGUUUUGCUUCCAAGGCCUAUUAGAAGGGAGGCGAUUAUAAAUAAAUAUUUAAAUAUAUGCCUCUGAUCUGAUGUAAUAACUAAGACAAGGCCUAAUCAUCGAUGCUCAUAUAACUCCAA
Long non-coding RNA from Panicum virgatum (switchgrass), 2645 nucleotides. RefSeq lists it as uncharacterized. Lineage: Eukaryota; Viridiplantae; Streptophyta; Magnoliopsida; Poales; Poaceae. The record is from RefSeq and is a predicted model, not a curated record. The transcript is spliced from 8 exons.